This 484-nucleotide ribosomal RNA is filed under the name uncultured bacterium. Its description in RNAcentral is "partial 16S ribosomal RNA". It matches the Rfam family "Bacterial small subunit ribosomal RNA", at positions 32 to 523 of the family's 1533-position model. The record is from RNAcentral.
AAUCAACGCCGGCGGCGUGCCUAACACAUGCAAGUCGAACGAGAACGGGCUAUAGCUUGCUAUAGUUGUCAGCUAAGUGGCGCACGGGUGAGUAAUGUAUAGGUAAUAUGCCUCUUACUAAGGGAUAACAAAUGGAAACGUUUGCUAAUACCUUAUACUCCUUAUUAACAGAAGUUAAUAAGGGAAAGAUUUAUUGGUAAGAGAUUAGCCUGUAUUGUAUCAGUUAGUUGGUGGGGUAAUGGCUUACCAAGACUAUGACACAUAACUGGUUUGAGAGGAUGGUCAGUCACACUGGAACUGAGACACGGUCCAGACUCCUACUGGAGGCAGCAGUGGGGAAUAUUGCACAAUGGACGAAAGUCUGAUGCAGCAACGCCGCGUGGAGGAUGACACAUUUCGGUGCGUAAACUCCUUUUAUAUGAGAAGAUAAUGACGGUAUUAUAUGAAUAAGCACCGGCUAACUCCGUGCCAGCCGCCGCGGUAA